RNAcentral lists this ribosomal RNA (253 nucleotides) under uncultured bacterium. Its description in RNAcentral is "partial 16S ribosomal RNA". It matches the Rfam family "Bacterial small subunit ribosomal RNA", at positions 524 to 776 of the family's 1533-position model. The record is from RNAcentral.
UACGGAGGGUGCAAGCGUUAUCCGGAUUCACUGGGUUUAAAGGGUGCGUAGGUGGUUCUGUAAGUCAGUGGUGAAAUCUCCGGGCUUAACCCGGAAACUGCCAUUGAUACUAUAGGUCUUGAAUUUUCUGGAGGUCAGCGGAAUAUGUCAUGUAGCGGUGAAAUGCUUAGAUAUGACAUAGAACACCAAUUGCGAAGGCAGCUGGCUGCAGGAACAUUGACACUGAGGCACGAAAGCGUGGGGAUCAAACAGG